UAGCUUAGUGGUAAGAGCAUUAGUGCGUAAAGCUAAAGGUCCCGGGUUCGGUUCCCGG
This 58-nucleotide transfer RNA is filed under the name Agrilus planipennis (emerald ash borer). It matches the Rfam family "tRNA", at positions 8 to 63 of the family's 71-position model. From Rfam's summary of the family: Transfer RNA (tRNA) molecules are approximately 80 nucleotides in length. Their secondary structure includes four short double-helical elements and three loops (D, anti-codon, and T loops). Further hydrogen bonds mediate the characteristic L-shaped molecular structure. tRNAs have two regions of fundamental functional importance: the anti-codon, which is responsible for specific mRNA codon recognition, and the 3' end, to which the tRNAs corresponding amino acid is attached (by aminoacyl-tRNA synthetases). tRNAs cope with the degeneracy of the genetic code in two manners: having more than one tRNA (with a specific anti-codon) for a particular amino acid; and 'wobble' base-pairing, i.e. permitting non-standard base-pairing at the 3rd anti-codon position. The record is from Rfam by way of RNAcentral. Lineage: Eukaryota; Metazoa; Arthropoda; Insecta; Coleoptera; Buprestidae.